RNAcentral lists this ribosomal RNA (446 nucleotides) under uncultured bacterium. RNAcentral's name for it is "bacterial SSU rRNA". It matches the Rfam family "Bacterial small subunit ribosomal RNA", at positions 331 to 793 of the family's 1533-position model. The record is from RNAcentral.
CCAGACUCCUACGGGAGGCAGCAGUGGGGGAUAUUGCACAAUGGGGGGAACCCUGAUGCAGCGACGCCGCGUGGGUGAGGGAGUGCUUCGGCAUGUAAAGCCCUAUCGGCAGGGAAGAAGCAAGACGGUACCUGACUAAGAAGCCCCGGCUAACUACGUGCCAGCAGCCGCGGUAAUACGUAGGGGGCGAGCGUUAUCCGGAUUCACUGGGUGUAAAGGGAGCGUAGACGGCCAAGCAAGCCAGGGGUGAAAGCCCGGGGCCCAACCCCGGGACUGCCCUUGGAACUGCAUGGCUGGAGUGCGGGAGGGGCAGGCGGAAUUCCUGGUGUAGCGGUGAAAUGCGUAGAUAUCAGGAGGAACAUCAGUGGCGAAGGCGGCCACCUGGACCGGUAUUGACGCUGAGGCGCGAAAGCGUGGGGAGCAAACAGGAUUAGAUACCCUUGUAU